CCUACGGGGGGCAGCAGUGGGGAAUAUUGGACAAUGGGCGAAAGCCUGAUCCAGCCAUGCCGCGUGUGUGAAGAAGGCCUUCGGGUUGUAAAGCACUUUCAGUGGGGAAGAAAGCCUUGGGGCUAAUACCCUCGAGGAAGGACAUCACCCACAGAAGAAGCACCGGCUAACUCCGUGCCAGCAGCCGCGGUAAUACGGAGGGUGCGAGCGUUAAUCGGAAUUACUGGGCGUAAAGGGCGCGUAGGCGGUCUGAUAAGCCGGUUGUGAAAGCCCCGGGCUCAACCUGGGAACGGCAUCCGGAACUGUCAGGCUAGAGUGCAGGAGAGGAAGGUAGAAUUCCCGGUGUAGCGGUGAAAUGCGUAGAGAUCGGGAGGAAUACCAGUGGCGAAGGCGGCCUUCUGGACUGACACUGACGCUGAGGUGCGAAAGCGUGGGUAGCAAACAGGAUUAGAUACCCUGGUAGUC
Molecule: ribosomal RNA, 465 nt
Filed under: Vreelandella stevensii
Lineage: Bacteria; Pseudomonadati; Pseudomonadota; Gammaproteobacteria; Oceanospirillales; Halomonadaceae
Description: partial 16S ribosomal RNA
Rfam family: Bacterial small subunit ribosomal RNA
Source: RNAcentral